Sarcophilus harrisii (Tasmanian devil) is the source of this 107-nucleotide small nuclear RNA. Lineage: Eukaryota; Metazoa; Chordata; Mammalia; Dasyuromorphia; Dasyuridae. The record is from Ensembl.
GUUCUCUCUCUGGCAAUGCCUGUUCUAAAAUUGGAAUGAAACAGAGAAGAUUAGCAUGGCCCUGCACGAUUGAUGACAUGCAAAUUCGUGAAAUGUUCCAUCUUUAA